CAGUCGACGGUGAACACGGAGCUUGCUCUGUGGGAUCAGUGGCGAACGGGUGAGUAACACGUGAGCAACCUGCCCCUGACUCUGGGAUAAGCGCUGGAAACGGCGUCUAAUACUGGAUAUGUGACGUGAUCGCAUGGUCUGCGUCUGGAAAGAAUUUCGGUUGGGGAUGGGCUCGCGGCCUAUCAGCUUGUUGGUGAGGUAAUGGCUCACCAAGGCGUCGACGGGUAGCCGGCCUGAGAGGGUGACCGGCCACACUGGGACUGAGACACGGCCCAGACUCCUACGGGAGGCAGCAGUGGGGAAUAUUGCACAAUGGGCGCAAGCCUGAUGCAGCAACGCCGCGUGAGGGACGACGGCCUUCGGGUUGUAAACCUCUUUUAGCAGGGAAGAAGCGAAAGUGACGGUACCUGCAGAAAAAGCGCCGGCUAACUACGUGCCAGCAGCCGCGGUAAUACGUAGGGCGCAAGCGUUAUCCGGAAUUAUUGGGCGUAAAGAGCUCGUAGGCGGUUUGUCGCGUCUGCUGUGAAAUCCGGAGGCUCAACCUCCGGCCUGCAGUGGGUACGGGCAGACUAGAGUGCGGUAGGGGAGAUUGGAAUUCCUGGUGUAGCGGUGGAAUGCGCAGAUAUCAGGAGGAACACCGAUGGCGAAGGCAGAUCUCUGGGCCGUAACUGACGCUGAGGAGCGAAAGGGUGGGGAGCAAACAGGCUUAGAUACCCUGGUAGUCCACCCCGUAAACGUUGGGAACUAGUUGUGGGGUCCAUUCCACGGAUUCCGUGACGCAGCUAACGCAUUAA
This 794-nucleotide ribosomal RNA is filed under the name Microbacterium maritypicum. RNAcentral's name for it is "bacterial SSU rRNA". It matches the Rfam family "Bacterial small subunit ribosomal RNA", at positions 59 to 863 of the family's 1533-position model. The record is from RNAcentral. Lineage: Bacteria; Bacillati; Actinomycetota; Actinomycetes; Micrococcales; Microbacteriaceae.